GACGAACGCUGGCGGCGUGCUUAACACAUGCCAGUCGUACGGUAAGGCCCUUUCGGGGGUACACGAGUGGCGAACGGGUGAGUAACACGUGAGUAACCUGCCCACAACUUUGGGAUAACGCUAGGAAACUGGUGCUAAUACUGGAUAUGUGCUCCUGCUGCAUGGUGGGGGUUGGAAAGCUCCGGCGGUUGUGGAUGGACUCGCGGCCUAUCAGCUUGUUGGUGGGGUAGUGGCCUACCAAGGCGGCGACGGGUAGCCGGCCUGAGAGGGUGACCGGCCACAUUGGGACUGAGAUACGGCCCAGACUCCGACGGGAGGCAGCAGUGGGGAAUAUUGCACAAUGGGCGCAAGCCUGAUGCAGCAACGCCGCGUGCGGGAUGACGGCCUUCGGGUUGUAAACCGCUUUCAGCAGGGACGAAGCUUUUUGUGACGGUACCUGCAGAAGAAGCACCGGCUAACUACGUG
Molecule: ribosomal RNA, 465 nt
Filed under: uncultured bacterium
Lineage: Bacteria
Description: partial 16S ribosomal RNA
Rfam family: Bacterial small subunit ribosomal RNA
Source: RNAcentral